GCGGCAGAGCCUGUGCUGAGGCCUUGCCUCCGUGUCUGCUCUUGGAACUGCCGUGGUUCCGGGCAGUGCCGGGUUUCGGGGCCAUGGCUGCUGCCGUAGCCCGCACUGCUGUGGGUAAGCUGCUGGAAGCUGCACCCGCCUGCCAAACAGGGGCUUCUGCACCAUGUCCUGAACCCCCUCCCGUGGGGAUCCAUGGGCUGGGGACACUGAGGUAUGGCAGCCCACGGCAGAGUCUGUUCCCAUCUGCAUCCUCCAGGCAGACGAAGGCUCACAGCCCCAGCAUUCCAUCUUCCAGGAACGAGAUCACAGGAUAAGAGAGCUCUUGCACCCUCUCACACUUCCCUUCUCAACAGGCUUUUGACUAUGUGCUCAGACUUGAAGGAGUUAUUUCAGGGAAGAGAAACACAAAAGAUUUGCAAAACAUGCACUUUAAAAAUCAUCUUUCAUCAAUCGUGAUUUUAACUGCUGCAUCUCCUCAAGAUACACUGACUGUAAAAUACUUUACCUCUGUACACCACAGAUUAAAUACCUGAAAACCAAGGACCUCUCAGGUAUACCAGUGAAAAGUGGGCUUCAUUGAAUGAGGAACACCCAGGAACAUUUAAAAGGAACCAUUUAUUAAAUCAAACUGUUAUUUUAACAGUUACAUAAGUUACACAGCAUGUUUAAGUCAAAAGAUUUCACAAGGAAAAAAAAAAAACUUUAAACUUUUAUUAUGCAGGCAAAAAUAGUACCACACAAUAUGUACCUGGGAGGGAAGAAGGGAAGGGGAAUCUCUAAACAUUCAAAUAAGGCCAUAAUUAUUUAAAAACAACAAUAAAACAAUAAUAAACCCCCCCCAAAGAUCCAUUUGCUUUUCAGUGUGUUCAGUGCUGCUAACUAUAUGUACUUUUAGUGUACAGGUGUGAUCGAGGCAGUGAUAUUUUGAUAGCUAGGUUUAAUGUUUUAAAACACUAUCAGAAGUGGAAUAAGGCUCAUUAGUACAUACAGUUGCCCUUGGAAUGUCAAUCUCAGUUGCCUUCAUCAACUUAAAAUUCACAAAGUGCACAGUUAAGAUAUGCCAAAAAAUUGAAACUGCUACUCUACCAACAGCUGCCCAUGCUUAAUACUUAGUGGUCUAUUGGAACAAAGUAUGUUCUUUCAAAAGAGAUGUGUAAGAAAAGCCACUGUAAAACAUUUAGUUCUGAAGAUGCACUAGGAGCUCUCUGUAAACUGAAAAGUAGAAAAACAUGGAUUAAUUAUGUUAAGAAAAGAAUACAAAAAACACUAGAAAUGACCAUCAAACUUCCAAAGAACAAGCACCACAAUGGACAUUAGCAUUCGAUUUUGCAGUGUACAGCAAGGUAAUAAUUUCACUCUAGCCAAUCUACUUCAUCAAAUUCUGAAUCAUCUUCUGAAUCACUGUAUUCCACAGCGAUGCGACGGGAGAGGAUGGUGGCGACAUCGUUCUCAAUGCGCUCGUGCUUCGCUUCUUGUUCCCGCUGCUCCUCCACUUUGCGGAGCUGAAUACCUGGAGAACAUCAGAGCACAAACAUGUCACCCUCCUCCUUCACCACUGCAAAUGUAUUUAGGUCACGAUUCACAGAAUGCUUUGCAAUCAAAAAUGAAUACACAGGAUGCUGUCCUGCUCAGACAGAAUCUUUUUUGUCAAGCUUUUAAAGAGAAGAAUGUCAGAAUUGCAGAGGCAGACAAGAUCUGGAGUCCUUCUACUAUAGUAUCCCGGUUCUGAUUUUCCAUUAAAAUACAUUUUUAGUAGCACUCUAAGUGAUUAAGCCAUUUUUGCUACUUGCAUUUUCUAGACUCUUUAUUCCUAUUUUUAAUGAAAGUUUAUAGCUAUUUGAGUAUCCUAACAAGACAGGACCUCUUGUAACUCUGUUUUUUAUCAUGCAAUGAUUUGGUUUGGGAUAAAGUAUUACUUGGAGAUCAAAGCUGUGGUAACUCAAGCCUUUGUGUUUUAGGUAUGGUUUGGUCAAAAGUGUUUUCAGCAAUCACCUAGAUUAUACCAGCAGGCUCUAUUUUCUCACUUUUGCUGACAUUCUUUAUGCAUGUUCAUGCACCCCUGUUGUACUCAGCUGUCGUCAACAUUUCUUUAGACUUCAAUUAUGUUAUCAAUUCAUGUGCAUAUAGACAUACAAAAAUAUUUUGAAUUAAUGCUAUAGCCUAUCUGCUGAUAUUACAGUACCAUACAGAUUCUGUGCUAUGCUGCAGUGCAGGGGAAGAGAAAAAGAAUGUAGGACUUGAAACAUUUGAGAGAUCUUAACUACUGAAAGACGCCCCACCAUCAAACAGCAAUACACACCAAUGUGCGCUCUGAUGCCAGUGGGGAUUUUCCUGGCCAUGGGCACCAUAAGCUGAAAGAUACAGCUGGCACACACAGCUCCUCAUGACAUCAUCAGGAAAACACUGCCCUGCAGCUCUGCCCUUCCCUUGCACUCUGCCAUGGGCACCUUGCAAUGCAAAGGCUGCUCCACUACUGCACUGAGAUCAGUGUCCAGAUCAGAUACAACAGCUUGAAGUUCUUCAGCAAUGAUUUCUGAACAUUACUCAUAUCUUGUAAUACAGUGAUAGAUGAUCAAAAUUCUAAUGCCAAUUGAUGCCAUUUCUCUUUUA
Long non-coding RNA from Haemorhous mexicanus (house finch), 2610 nucleotides. RefSeq lists it as uncharacterized. The transcript has 2 exons. NCBI's taxonomy places the organism in Eukaryota, Metazoa, Chordata, Aves, Passeriformes, Fringillidae. The record is from RefSeq and is a predicted model, not a curated record.